GGAAUAUUGGACAAUGGGCGCAAGCCUGAUCCAGCAAUGCCGCGUGAGUGAUGAAGGCCCUAGGGUUGUAAAGCUCUUUUACCCGGGAUGAUAAUGACAGUACCGGGCGAAUAAGCCCCGGCUCACUCCGUCCCAGCAGCCGCGGUAAUACGGAGGGGGCUAGCGUUGUUCGGAAUUACUGGGCGUAAAGCGCACGUAGGCGGGUUUGUAAGUUAGAGGUGAAAGCCCGGGGCUCAACUCCGGAACUGCCUUUAAGACUGCAUCGCUUGAAUCCAGGAGAGGUGAGUGGAAUUCCGAGUGUAGAGGUGAAAUUCGUAGAUAUUCGGAAGAACACCAGUGGCGAAGGCGGCUCACUGGACUGGUAUUGACGCUGAGGUGCGAAAGCGUGGGGAGCAAA
This 397-nucleotide ribosomal RNA is filed under the name uncultured bacterium. Its description in RNAcentral is "bacterial SSU rRNA". It matches the Rfam family "Bacterial small subunit ribosomal RNA", at positions 358 to 772 of the family's 1533-position model. The record is from RNAcentral.